UACGUAGGAGGCGAGCGUUGUCCGGAAUUAUUGGGCGUAAAGAGCUCGUAGGCGGUCUGUCGCGUCUGCUGUGAAAUCCCGAGGCUCAACCUCGGGCUUGCAGUGGGUACGGGCAGGCUAGAGUGCGGUAGGGGAGAAUGGAACUCCCGGUGUAGCGGUGGAAUGCGCAGAUAUCAGGAAGAACACCGAUGGCGAAGGCAGUUCUCUGGGCCGUAACUGACGCUGAGGAGCGAAAGCGUGGGGAGCGAACAGG
Molecule: ribosomal RNA, 253 nt
Filed under: uncultured bacterium
Lineage: Bacteria
Description: partial 16S ribosomal RNA
Rfam family: Bacterial small subunit ribosomal RNA
Source: RNAcentral